GUCAUGAUACCUGAAGAGACUGUACUCAUGAAGAAUCUGAGGAUACUGCAUCAAGAAAAAAGUUAAGCGAUCUUCCAGAUAUUUAAGUACAUUACAUUAAGAAAUGAAAAUUAAGUUAUGAGCUGGAGACCGGUGGUAAUUUCAGAUGUCCAGAAGCCUUAUAUAAAUGUUUUUGCUUAUUUGACUUGAGCUUGUAAAUUGUGCCUCUGUAGGCUCCUUAAGCUCCCUAUGUGGUAAAGAGGAAAGCUGUAAUGAGGAAAAGGAAAUAUUGAUGCUACAAGCAGUUUAUGCAAGACAGAAGCUCCAUCAUCUUUGAAAGGUUGUGGCAAUUGUGGAUCUUCUUGGUAUUGGGGUUGAUACUGGAGCUGAUACACUUUAGCAUCUUCAUUAAUAAUCUGGAUGAUGGAACAGAGUGCACCCUCAGCAAGUCUGCAGAUGAUACAAAAUGAGGAUGCGUUAGGGUGCAUUAGGAAGAGUGUUGCCAGCAGGUCGAGGGAGGUGAUCCUCCCCCUCUCCUCAGCCCUGGUGAGGCCACAUCU
RNAcentral lists this long non-coding RNA (539 nucleotides) under Apteryx owenii (little spotted kiwi). RNAcentral's name for it is "lncRNA (ENSAOWG00000017976.1)". The record is from RNAcentral. Lineage: Eukaryota; Metazoa; Chordata; Aves; Apterygiformes; Apterygidae.